UUCAUUCAAUUCAAAUUCAGCAUUUUAUUCAUUCACAGGUUCAAGUUUACAAUACUUUUCGAAUGCAAAUAUCAUUUCACCAUCAAUUACGAAUACUCAUUUGUCAAAGUUCAGGCCCAAAAUCCAUUCAAGGUCCUUACAAAAGUUCAUCCAAGAGAAAAUUAUAAAGAGAUACAUGCACAAAGUCAUUACAAUUACAAAAAAAUCUCCACUACUAUAUCAUGUUACAUUGCCAUACAUUGGAUACAUUCUUUAAAACAUAUUAUUCCCACCAUGACUUCAUCAAUAUUUCUCCACUUAUGCCUUCAUAUUAUUAAUGACUUCAAUCCUUGCUUCAGUCACACAAAACCAAAAGCUUUCCAUUGCAUUUUCUUCAAACGACUUGUUGUCUAA
Non-coding RNA from Vicia faba (fava bean), 393 nucleotides. The record is from the annotation of a GenBank genome assembly. NCBI's taxonomy places the organism in Eukaryota, Viridiplantae, Streptophyta, Magnoliopsida, Fabales, Fabaceae.